RNAcentral lists this ribosomal RNA (567 nucleotides) under uncultured bacterium. Its description in RNAcentral is "partial 16S ribosomal RNA". It matches the Rfam family "Bacterial small subunit ribosomal RNA", at positions 356 to 914 of the family's 1533-position model. The record is from RNAcentral.
UGGGGAAUUUGGACAAUGGGCGAAAGCCUGAUCCAGCAAUGCCGCGUGUGUGAAGAAGGCCUUCGGGUUGUAAAGCACUUUUGUCCGGAAAGAAAUCCUUGGCUCUAAUACAGUCGGGGGAUGACGGUACCGGAAGAAUAAGCACCGGCUAACUACGUGCCAGCAGCCGCGGUAAUACGUAGGGUGCAAGCGUUAAUCGGAAUUACUGGGCGUAAAGCGUGCGCAGGCGGUUUGCUAAGACCGAUGUGAAAUCCCCGGGCUCAACCUGGGAACUGCAUUGGUGACUGGCAGGCUAGAGUAUGGCAGAGGGGGGUAGAAUUCCACGUGUAGCAGUGAAAUGCGUAGAGAUGUGGAGGAAUACCGAUGGCGAAGGCAGCCCCCUGGGCCAAUACUGACGCUCAUGCACGAAAGCGUGGGGGAGCAAAACAGGAUUAGAUACCCUGGUAGUCCACGCCCUAAACGAUGUCAACUAGUUGUUGGGGAUUCAUUUCCUUAGUAACGUAGCUAACGCGUGAAGUUGACCGCCUGGGGAGUACGGUCGCAAGAUUAAAACUUAAAUGAAUUGAC